Molecule: long non-coding RNA, 619 nt
Filed under: Rattus norvegicus (Norway rat)
Lineage: Eukaryota; Metazoa; Chordata; Mammalia; Rodentia; Muridae
Description: long non-coding RNA NONRATT014204
Source: RNAcentral
AAGAGAUUAAAAGACAUCACCUUUUAAAGUCUAGAGACAUUAGCUGAUAUUCUGAUCUUGUUUUUCUUGCUUUCAUAGGAAGCCACUUCAAAGACGGGAGCAGCUACUCCCUUUCAAUAGUUAGGGCCAGAUGGAGAACCACUUGCAGACAGGGCUAAUCUACUUGCAAGUCUGGGUACUUGACACCCUAAGCUGAAUGUCUGAGAUGGCCUCACAUGUUCAGGGUUAGCCAGGGCAGUGUAGCUAACUCCUAGAAUGGAAAUGAGCUUCCCCAGAACUAAGCCAAAUACAGGAAAUGAGUAUGCUGCCUUCUGGCUGCAAGAUCUAUACAUAAACUCACCAACAGGUUCCACCCAGACACUCAGUGUGAGCAAACAUUGAGCUUCUUGCCUUCUCCCAGCAUCCUUCACUGGUCCAUUCACUCAACAGUGUGCACAGUUCUAUCCUGUGUGCACAGGCAUGAAGGAAUAUGGAAAGAGUCAGUUCUGAGCUCUAAGAAACCCUCUGCAUGAUGGAAAACACAGAUACCAACUAAACAACAGGUCCUGGAGCCUGCUUAAUAGAAGACCACGAUACAGCCUUGGUCAAGCUGCCAGACUAGGUGGCUCUGAAGCUUCCA